AUGAGGCUUACAGCAUGGAACUGUCAGGGUUUUGGGAAUGGCCCGGCAGUAAGAGGGCUUCUGGACCUCCAGAAGCAGGAGGACCCUGAAGUUCUCUUUUUAUCUGAAACAAAGUUGGAUAAAAGGAGAAUGGAGAAGUUUAAAUGGAUGCUUGGCAUGAGUAACAUGGUGGUAAGAGAUUGUGCAGGCAAAAGUGGAGGCUUGGCUUUAUUUUGGAAGAAAGAAAUAAACUUGGAGCUGCACAAUUACUCAAGGUACCAUAUUGAUGUGGAAGUGGUUGAAAAAGAUGGUUUUAGAUGGUGA
RNAcentral lists this ribosomal RNA (303 nucleotides) under Triticum aestivum (bread wheat). RNAcentral's name for it is "partial small subunit ribosomal RNA". The record is from RNAcentral. Lineage: Eukaryota; Viridiplantae; Streptophyta; Magnoliopsida; Poales; Poaceae.